AAGAAGCCUAGCCCACCUGCUACCGCGAUCCCCUCCCCUAACCUUCGAACUACAUGACGCCGCAACCACCGCCUCCCUCCCUGCCUCACCCCGCCGCCGGGCCCCGGCCAUGAAUCGCACCGCCGCCCUGCCCCGACCUUCAACCGCGCUGCCGCCGCAUCCUCCCUCCCGUGCCGCUGCCGCCACCCUCCCCACCUCGCCACCAACCGGCGCUGCGCCGCACCCCUGACCCCAGCCGGAGAUGCCGCCUCACCUCCUCCCUGGAUCUCGUGCCAUCCUCCCCCACACACUGCCGCUGACGAAGGGAGCAACCACCGGUGUGGACUGCUCCACCACCUACCGGCCUUCACCACUCCCCUCCACCAACAUCGGCCCCGCCCCAUCCAUAGAGCCUGGCGUCCCCCAUCUCCCUCCACCUUCCUCUAUGCGUGAUGGACGCCAUGGCACGGGACCGUGAGCUCGCCGGAUUCCUUCCCCUACAGCCAGCGCCACCACCUACAGCUGGCGCCACAGUCGUCCAGGCCGUUCAACUUCGCCGCCUUAGGCCGUGCAACUCCGCCCGUGUGAGCGCGCGUUGCUCCUCCGCAGCUUCUCCACUUCGAGAUGGCAGGGGAAGAUUUCAGAUGUUGAUAUUCAGCAUGUUGCCAAAAGAGUUCGGUGAAAAAAAUCACUCUCCAAAAGACAUCCAAGUAAAAAUUUCAAGAGGCAGAUGAAAAAAAUGUUGAUGGCGAGAUAGAUUUUGGCGAAUUUGCCAGGAUGAUGAAAAAGACCAGCUAUGAUGAUAACUAGGUGGGGAGAUGUCAUUUUUGAGAGUGUGGAUCUUUUUGUAGUUUUUCAAUAACCACCGCAUGUAUGCGUGAUGUACUUAUUGAAGCUUUGGCUGCAUGUCCAUGUACAGUGUGAAUUACUAGAUGAAAAUGGGUGUACGCCCUAUAGGAUGCUGCUUGCACUUAAUGUAUGUGAUUUUUAUUUUUUGAGUUGUUGAUUUGUGUAAGGUAUUUUGAGUUUUGGAAGUUCAAAAUUCUGGUGCUGGAGAGUUUCGCUCCAUCAUGCAUGACAAUAACAAUAUUUCUAGAUAUGAAA
Long non-coding RNA from Triticum dicoccoides, 1083 nucleotides. RefSeq lists it as uncharacterized. Lineage: Eukaryota; Viridiplantae; Streptophyta; Magnoliopsida; Poales; Poaceae. The record is from RefSeq and is a predicted model, not a curated record. The transcript has 3 exons.